GGGGUUGUUUGGCUUUGACAGCGAGUAGAAAAGGUUUGUAAGCAUGCAGUGCGUUGUCGGUUUGCACUAUAAUCUGAAACGUCAAAACAUUAACUGGCAAUAACAAUUACGCUCUUGCUGCUUAAUCGAAGUAUAGUAGAUUGCAAGCUUAAUCUGUGCACAGGUGCAUAGACAAGACAUCGUCCGGAAGCUGUGGCUUCGAAGCGUUCCGAUACGGCGGUGCAGGUAAAUCGGAGAUAGGGUAAGUGAGGCUUUGACGCUUAUCCGAAACUAAAAAGAUAAGGAUUGAGUAUGGUGUCUUCAAUCGCGCUCUUUCCCGACAGACAAAAUGAAGAUAAGCAUGUAGAAAGCAAAUUGUUUCCUUGUUUGGACGAGGGUUCGACUCCCUCCAACUCCACAA
This 400-nucleotide transfer-messenger RNA is filed under the name Dysgonamonadaceae bacterium. It matches the Rfam family "transfer-messenger RNA". From Rfam's summary of the family: Bacterial tmRNA, also known as 10Sa RNA or SsrA, is named for its dual tRNA and mRNA-like properties. Its role is to liberate the mRNA from a stalled ribosome. Lineage: Bacteria; Pseudomonadati; Bacteroidota; Bacteroidia; Bacteroidales; Dysgonomonadaceae. The record is from RNAcentral.